AUAUGGAGGUAUGAUUCCCCUUAAAAGCAUUCCUUGGAAAGCUGAACAAAGUGAGUAAGAACUCACACACACACACACACACACACACACACAC
Non-coding RNA from Erinaceus europaeus (western European hedgehog), 94 nucleotides. NCBI's taxonomy places the organism in Eukaryota, Metazoa, Chordata, Mammalia, Eulipotyphla, Erinaceidae. The record is from Rfam.